This 58-nucleotide microRNA precursor is filed under the name Ornithorhynchus anatinus (platypus). RNAcentral's name for it is "Oan-Novel-3_pre stem-loop". Lineage: Eukaryota; Metazoa; Chordata; Mammalia; Monotremata; Ornithorhynchidae. The record is from RNAcentral.
UAUCAAGCGCUUAGAACAGUGCAUCUGAGUGCGAGCACUGUUCCAAGUGCUUGAUAAG